This is a non-coding RNA of Potamilus streckersoni, 68 nucleotides long. NCBI's taxonomy places the organism in Eukaryota, Metazoa, Mollusca, Bivalvia, Unionida, Unionidae. The record is from the annotation of a GenBank genome assembly.
GAGGUGGCCUAGUGGUUAGAGCAUCCUCCUCGGAUGCGGAAGGUUUUGGGUUCGUUCCCCGACUUACA